GUAAACAAUCUAAAUACAAUUUAUUUCUACAGAAAUUUUAAAUAUAAAAUCAUAUCAGAAUAUUUUUAAAAUUAAAUUUAAGAUAAAUUUUAUUAAAAAUAUAAAAUAUUUUGUACUAAGAGAAGCAAAUAAAAAUAUAGGACAGAAGUAAAGAAACAAAAUGUCCUUCCAUUUAAGUACAAAAGAAAGGCUGUUAUUACUCGUAGAUGAUAUAGAAAUAAUAGCAAAAGAAUUAAUUGAGAAUACAAUAGCACCGAAACAUCAAAAAAUUUCAAGUGUUGAACAUGCUGCUUUGGUUGAUUUAUUAGUUUCUAAAGAUGAGGAGUUUAGAAAAAUGCUGCAAUUAGCUGGAGAACAAGAAAAGAUUGAAAAAACAAUGGAUAACUUAAAAAAUAAAGUUAAUGUAUAUGAUAGAGAAAUUCAGAAACUUCAAAAUAAACUUAAAGAAGCUGAACAAAUAUUAUCAACUGCAAUAUUUCAAGCAAGACGAAAACUGAAUAGUAUAACAAAAGCUAAUAAGCAACCUGUAUCUUCUGAAGAAUUAAUAAAAUAUGCUCAUAGAAUAAGCGCUUCUAACGCAGUUUGUGCACCAUUGACAUGGAUGCAGGGAGAUUUGAGAAGACCAUAUCCAACUGAUAUAGAAAUGCGUCUAGGUUUUCUAGGCAAAAAUGAACUAAAUCUUAAUGGAAAAAUGCCUGGAAUGCAAAAUUCAGUAACUGAUGUGCAAAAUAGAAAUUCGGACGUCCCAACAUCGAAUCAAAAUCAAUUCGCUUGGCAAAUGGGUGAACUUCAUAUGUCUAUGAGCUCAGGUAACUCAGUGCAGCUUGAUACACGUGCACACAAGGACGCCACGCAAGAUGAUGUUGAAGUCAUGUCUACAGAUAGCUCUAGUUCUAGCUCUAGUGAUUCACAAUAAAAUUAUGUGAUAUGUUAGGCUAUGGAAAAAUAUAUAUUUAAAAAGUGAUGUGGUAUAUGGAUUAUAUUUAACUGAAUUUAUAAGAACGUCUAAAAUAAAUUGGUCAUAAGUAAUAAUUUUUUAUGUCAAAUGAAAAAAAAUGUGAAAAGCAAAUCAAGCGAGAUUUCAAAUAAUCAAUGGAAGCUGAUAAAAUGUAAGUUUACAAAAUUAUUUAAUAUGUAUUUAUAUUUCCAAAAAUGAAAAAAAAUUCGUGGCACAUUUCGCGUUACAUUUGCUU
Molecule: RNA transcript, 1193 nt
Organism: Condylostylus longicornis
Lineage: Eukaryota; Metazoa; Arthropoda; Insecta; Diptera; Dolichopodidae
Gene: MED4
Gene name: mediator of RNA polymerase II transcription subunit 4
Exons: 4
Source: RefSeq, a predicted model, not a curated record